UAGGGAAUCUUCGGCAAUGGACGAAAGUCUGACCGAGCAACGCCGCGUGAGUGAAGAAGGUUUUCGGAUCGUAAAACUCUGUUGUUAGAGAAGAACAAGGACGUUAGUAACUGAACGUCCCCUGACGGUAUCUAACCAGAAAGCCACGGCUAACUACGUGCCAGCAGCCGCGGUAAUACGUAGGUGGCAAGCGUUGUCCGGAUUUAUUGGGCGUAAAGCGAGCGCCGGCGGUUUCUUAAGUCUGAUGUGAAAGCCCCCGGCUCAACCGGGGAGGGUCAUUGGAAACUGGGAGACUUGAGUGCAGAAGAGGAGAGUUGAAUUCCAUGUGUAGCGGUGAAAUGCGUAGAUAUAUGGAGGAACACCAGUGGCGAAGGCGGCUCUCUGGUCUGUAACUGACGCUGAGGCUCGAAAGCGUGGGGAGCAAACAGG
RNAcentral lists this ribosomal RNA (429 nucleotides) under Gemmatimonadota bacterium. Its description in RNAcentral is "Gemmatimonadetes bacterium partial 16S ribosomal RNA". It matches the Rfam family "Bacterial small subunit ribosomal RNA", at positions 355 to 776 of the family's 1533-position model. The record is from RNAcentral. Lineage: Bacteria; Pseudomonadati; Gemmatimonadota.